GUCGUGUUGGUCUAAUGGUUAGGACAAUAGCCUUUCAAGCUAUUAAUGCAGAGUUCAAUUCUCGCACACGACA
Molecule: transfer RNA, 73 nt
Filed under: Caudoviricetes sp.
Lineage: Duplodnaviria; Heunggongvirae; Uroviricota; Caudoviricetes
Description: tRNA-Glu
Rfam family: tRNA
About the family: Transfer RNA (tRNA) molecules are approximately 80 nucleotides in length. Their secondary structure includes four short double-helical elements and three loops (D, anti-codon, and T loops). Further hydrogen bonds mediate the characteristic L-shaped molecular structure. tRNAs have two regions of fundamental functional importance: the anti-codon, which is responsible for specific mRNA codon recognition, and the 3' end, to which the tRNAs corresponding amino acid is attached (by aminoacyl-tRNA synthetases). tRNAs cope with the degeneracy of the genetic code in two manners: having more than one tRNA (with a specific anti-codon) for a particular amino acid; and 'wobble' base-pairing, i.e. permitting non-standard base-pairing at the 3rd anti-codon position.
Source: RNAcentral